GGGGGUGAAUUAGGUUCGACAUAGGUAGGAAUGGCAUCAGCAGCGAGCCGAGGUCCCCGAAACCUCGUUAAUCCUCGGGACAAACAAUAAUUGCCAACAAUAAAUACGCUUUAGCUGCUUAAUAGUCAGCUAACGCCUCACUGCCCUUCGCCUGCGAGAGCAGUGCAGGUGUCAUACGAGCAGGCUGCCUGAACAGCAGCACCCUGAGCUGUUCGGGGAGAUUGACAGGGUUAGCUGCCCGCCCAUCCGGCUGCGGGGAGGGGCGGACGGUGAAUGGCAAAACUGCGGCUGCGCUCGGAGAGGCUGGUGUGGUUUCACUUAUGGACAGCGGUGCAACUCCGCUCACCUCCACCA
RNAcentral lists this transfer-messenger RNA (354 nucleotides) under Limnochordia. RNAcentral describes it as "DTU012 sp900019385 Standard tmRNA". It matches the Rfam family "transfer-messenger RNA". Rfam says of the family: Bacterial tmRNA, also known as 10Sa RNA or SsrA, is named for its dual tRNA and mRNA-like properties. Lineage: Bacteria; Bacillati; Bacillota. RNAcentral also lists the same sequence under 2 other names. The record is from RNAcentral.